GACAGAGGGUGCAAACGUUGCUCGGAAUUACUGGGCGUAAAGCGCGUGUAGGCGGACCGGUGUGUCGGAUGUGAAAUCCCUGGGCUCAACCCAGGAACUGCACUCGAAACUACCGGUCUAGAGUGGUGGAGAGGGAAGUGGAAUUCCUGGUGUAGAGGUGAAAUUCGUAGAUAUCAGGAGGAACACCAGUGGCGAAGGCGGCUUCCUGGACACCAACUGACGCUGAGACGCGAAAGCGUGGGGAGCAAACAGG
Molecule: ribosomal RNA, 253 nt
Filed under: uncultured bacterium
Lineage: Bacteria
Description: partial 16S ribosomal RNA
Rfam family: Bacterial small subunit ribosomal RNA
Source: RNAcentral